GGGGAAUAAGCUCAAGUGGUAGAGCGCUCGCUUAGCAUGCGAGAGGCAACGGGAUCGAUGCCUGCAUUUUCCA
This 73-nucleotide transfer RNA is filed under the name Anguilla anguilla (European eel). It matches the Rfam family "tRNA". Rfam says of the family: Transfer RNA (tRNA) molecules are approximately 80 nucleotides in length. The record is from Rfam by way of RNAcentral. Lineage: Eukaryota; Metazoa; Chordata; Actinopteri; Anguilliformes; Anguillidae.